This 350-nucleotide unclassified non-coding RNA is filed under the name soil metagenome. Its description in RNAcentral is "partial contains 5.8S ribosomal RNA, internal transcribed spacer 2, and large subunit ribosomal RNA". The stretch from base 1 to 120 matches the Rfam family "5.8S ribosomal RNA", at positions 35 to 154 of the family's 154-position model. The record is from RNAcentral.
GAUGAAGAACGUAGCGAAAUGCGAUACGUAAUGUGAAUUGCAGAAUUCAGUGAAUCAUCGAAUCUUUGAACGCACAUUGCGCCCGCCAGUAUUCUGGCGGGCAUGCCUGUUCGAGCGUCAUUUCAACCCUCAAGCCCAGCUUGGUGUUGGGGAUCGGCACAGGCGCCCUCGGGCGCCCGCCGUCCCCUAAAUCUAGUGGCGGUCCCGCUGCAGCCUCCUCUGCGUAGUAGUUUUCUCCUCGCAAGGGCAGCUCGGUGGCGACCUCGCCGUAAAACCCCCAACUUCUGAAAGGUUGACCUCGAAUCAGGUAGGAAUACCCGCUGAACUUAAGCAUAUCGAUAAGCGGAGGA